Molecule: transfer RNA, 73 nt
Filed under: Mustela putorius furo (domestic ferret)
Lineage: Eukaryota; Metazoa; Chordata; Mammalia; Carnivora; Mustelidae
Rfam family: tRNA
About the family: Transfer RNA (tRNA) molecules are approximately 80 nucleotides in length. Their secondary structure includes four short double-helical elements and three loops (D, anti-codon, and T loops).
Source: Rfam by way of RNAcentral
GCCUGGCUGGCUCAGCCGGUAGAGCAUGCAACUCUUUAUCUCAGGGUCGUGAGUUCAAAUCCCACACUGGGCG